RNAcentral lists this ribosomal RNA (425 nucleotides) under uncultured bacterium. Its description in RNAcentral is "bacterial SSU rRNA". It matches the Rfam family "Bacterial small subunit ribosomal RNA", at positions 356 to 773 of the family's 1533-position model. The record is from RNAcentral.
GGGGAAUAUUGGACAAUGGGCGAAAGCCUGAUCCAGCCAUGCCGCGUGUGUGAAGAAGGCCUUUUGGUUGUAAAGCACUUUAAGUGGGGAGGAAAAGCUUGUGGUUAAUACCCAUAUGCCCUGACGUUACCCACAGAAUAAGCACCGGCUAACUCUGUGCCAGCAGCCGCGGUAAUACAGAGGGUGCAAGCGUUAAUCGGAAUUACUGGGCGUAAAGCGAGCGUAGGUGGCUGUUUAAGUCAGAUGUGAAAGCCCCGGGCUUAACCUGGGAACUGCAUCUGAUACUGGACGGCUAGAGUAGGUGAGAGGGGAGUAGAAUUCCAGGUGUAGCGGUGAAAUGCGUAGAGAUCUGGAGGAAUACCGAUGGCGAAGGCAGCUCCCUGGCAUCAUACUGACACUGAGGUUCGAAAGCGUGGGUAGCAAAC